UACGUAGGAGGCAAGCGUUGUCCGGAAUCACUGGGCGUAAAGCGCGUGUAGGUGGCACAGGAAGUCUGCUGUGAAAGCGCCUGGCUUAACCGGGCGAGGUCGGUGGAAACUCCUGGGCUGGAGGACGGUAGAGGGGGGUGGAAUUCCGGGUGUAGUGGUGAAAUGCGUAGAGAUCCGGAGGAACACCCGUGGCGAAGGCGGCCCCCUGGGCCGCGCCUGACGCUGAGACGCGAAAGCGCGGGGAGCGAACGGG
RNAcentral lists this ribosomal RNA (253 nucleotides) under uncultured bacterium. RNAcentral's name for it is "partial 16S ribosomal RNA". It matches the Rfam family "Bacterial small subunit ribosomal RNA", at positions 524 to 776 of the family's 1533-position model. The record is from RNAcentral.